AUGUACUUUCUGUUAAAAACCAAAACCAUUUAUUUUUGUUUCUAUAAAAAUUACGUUCUGUACAGAAACUUUAUUUGGAUGUUUUGGAGUUUUUCGAAGUCUUUCAUUUGUUUUCUUUUUGGAUCUUUGCUUGUAUGCUUAUGUAUGUUAUUGCUUGCUUACGCUAGAUCAUCCGGAGUGCGAAGGCAAGUUCAUACAUUGAUCAUAAUUUUCAAUACCCAGUUUUUACUAUGCAUUAGUUUCACCCUCAAAGAUUGCAUCAGUAGGUUUGAGAACAUGUGGUUAUGCUAUGUAGUUCAUGUGGUAGGAAUCUAUGACCUUUGA
Molecule: ribosomal RNA, 324 nt
Filed under: Triticum aestivum (bread wheat)
Lineage: Eukaryota; Viridiplantae; Streptophyta; Magnoliopsida; Poales; Poaceae
Description: partial small subunit ribosomal RNA
Source: RNAcentral